UUAAGUUUUGGUGCUUUUUGAUAGCUUUAUGCUCACCAAAGCAAUUUAAGAAUGAGGGAGAGCUAUAUAUAAUUCAUGGAAAAGCUUUUGGAAGCUCAAAUUUAUGAAGAAACCAAGAUUUGGAGCCUCAUAAUCCUUUGCCUUAGUCGUUCAAAGUAUGCAAGGAAAGAACAAUGGAGAAGAGGAAAACAGGGUGAUGAAAA
This 203-nucleotide long non-coding RNA is filed under the name Vitis vinifera (wine grape). Its description in RNAcentral is "long non-coding RNA (VVIN_LNC004644)". The record is from RNAcentral. Lineage: Eukaryota; Viridiplantae; Streptophyta; Magnoliopsida; Vitales; Vitaceae.